Eubalaena glacialis (North Atlantic right whale) is the source of this 180-nucleotide long non-coding RNA. RefSeq lists it as uncharacterized. The transcript has 2 exons. The record is from RefSeq and is a predicted model, not a curated record. Lineage: Eukaryota; Metazoa; Chordata; Mammalia; Artiodactyla; Balaenidae.
UAGGUUGUUACAGAGUAUUCAGCAGAGUUCCCUGUGCUAUACACCUUGGCAGCCAUUCUGUGACCAUGAAGAAAAGGCCAAGAGAAUUGCUGAGGUACCAGCCCUACACUGACAAACCAACACCAGCAGCCACGUACUUCCAGACUUCUACAAGAAAAAUAAACCCACUUUGUUAGCCAC